ACCUUUUCUGGGGGAAGAUAAUGACGGUACCCCAGGAAUAAGGGACGGCUAACUACGUGCCAGCAGCCGCGGUAAUACGUAAAUCCCGAACGUUGCGCGAAAUUACUGGGCGUAAAGGGUCCGUAGGCGUGGAAGGUGAAUCCUACGGCUCAACCGUAGAAUUGCCUUCCAAACUGCUGGACUUGAGGC
RNAcentral lists this ribosomal RNA (189 nucleotides) under uncultured Sulfurihydrogenibium sp. RNAcentral describes it as "partial 16S ribosomal RNA". It matches the Rfam family "Bacterial small subunit ribosomal RNA", at positions 431 to 648 of the family's 1533-position model. Lineage: Bacteria; Pseudomonadati; Aquificota; Aquificia; Aquificales; Hydrogenothermaceae. The record is from RNAcentral.